UACGUAGGUGGCAAGCGUUGUCCGGAUUUACUGGGCGUAAAGGGCGUGCAGGCGGUCUGUUAAGUCUAGGGUGAAAGCUCCCGGCUCAACUGGGAGAGGUCCUUGGAUACUGGCGGACUUGAGGGAGGCAGAGGAAAGCGGAAUUCCCGGUGUAGUGGUGAUAUGCGUAGAUAUCGGGAGGAACACCAGUGGCGAAGGCGGCUUUCUGGGCCUUACCUGACGCUGAGACGCGAAAGCGUGGGGAGCGAACCGG
Molecule: ribosomal RNA, 253 nt
Filed under: uncultured bacterium
Lineage: Bacteria
Description: partial 16S ribosomal RNA
Rfam family: Bacterial small subunit ribosomal RNA
Source: RNAcentral